GUUCUUGAUAGUCAAGAAUGCUUGACCCCAAGUUGCAGCAGCGCCAGUAGUCUUGGAUCAGGAUCAGUCUCCAAAGUGGAGUUGAAGCCAAGAUCCAAUGGCAAGAGAAAAUGAUUAAGGAACUUGAGCAAGAACACAAUUUCUUACGUGAGCAAAUCAUGGGAGGGAAAAAGAAAUCAACCCAACCAAAAGUGAUUUCCUUGGAAGAGGAUGAUGACAAUGAUGGUGAUAUGGAGGAUGACGACAUUGUUCAAACUUCCCCAAAUAUCAGCGAGUCCUCAGACAGUGAUGAUGUUAUGCCCAGACAGAAGCCACAUCACACACAGUCACUUGCAUCUGCAACAGCAGCUUUGCAUGGUC
This is a non-coding RNA of Misgurnus anguillicaudatus (oriental weatherfish), 360 nucleotides long. NCBI's taxonomy places the organism in Eukaryota, Metazoa, Chordata, Actinopteri, Cypriniformes, Cobitidae. The record is from RefSeq and is a predicted model, not a curated record.